Molecule: ribosomal RNA, 253 nt
Filed under: uncultured bacterium
Lineage: Bacteria
Description: partial 16S ribosomal RNA
Rfam family: Bacterial small subunit ribosomal RNA
Source: RNAcentral
UACGAAGGGGGCUAGCGUUGCUCGGAAUCAUUGGGCGUAAAGGGUGCGUAGGUGGCGCUGUAAGUCAGGUGUGAAAUUUCGGAGCUUAACUCCGAAACUGCAUUUGAUACUGCGGUGCUCGAGGACUGGAGAGGAGACUGGAAUUUACGGUGUAGCAGUGAAAUGCGUAGAGAUCGUAAGGAAGACCAGUGGCGAAGGCGGGUCUCUGGACAGUUCCUGACACUGAGGCACGAAGGCCAGGGGAGCAAACGGG